This 273-nucleotide ribosomal RNA is filed under the name uncultured Staphylococcus sp. RNAcentral describes it as "partial 16S ribosomal RNA". It matches the Rfam family "Bacterial small subunit ribosomal RNA", at positions 89 to 354 of the family's 1533-position model. Lineage: Bacteria; Bacillati; Bacillota; Bacilli; Caryophanales; Staphylococcaceae. The record is from RNAcentral.
ACGUUAGCGGCGGACAGGUGAGUAACACGUGGGUAACCUACCUAUAAGACUGGGAUAACUUCGGGAAACCGGAGCUAAUACCGGAUAAUAUUUCGAACCGCAUGGUUCGAUAGUGAAAGAUGGUUUUGCUAUCACUUAUAGAUGGACCCGCGCCGUAUUAGCUAGUUGGUAAGGUAACGGCUUACCAAGGCGACGAUACGUAGCCGACCUGAGAGGGUGAUCGGCCACACUGGGACUGAGACACGGUCCAGACUCCUACGGGAGGCAGCAGGC